Molecule: long non-coding RNA, 747 nt
Filed under: Coffea arabica (coffee)
Lineage: Eukaryota; Viridiplantae; Streptophyta; Magnoliopsida; Gentianales; Rubiaceae
Description: long non-coding RNA (CARA_LNC001808)
Source: RNAcentral
UGAGUUCUUUGAUUUCAUGGACACAGUUUACCCUUUGAUACAUGUAACGAGGUUAUUGCAGCUGCAACAAAAGCACUGGCAACAUAGAUGAGAAGUGAGUUCUUUGAUUUCAUGGAUAUAGUUUACCCUUUGAUACACGUAGCAGGGCUAUUGCAGCUAAAACAUGAUUGUGUUGAAUUCAUUAUUUUAAAUUGACCGUUGAGAAACAUUUGGUAGAGGAAAUGCUUUAUUUACGGAUGAGUUUAAGCGUUGAAGUAAAAAUACUGUUUAGGGUUUAAUGUUUAUGGUGCGAGUCAGAUUAUAUUAUAGGUUCCAACUUUUUGAACUAUAAGGUCUUCCUAGGAUUUGCAAGUAUCUUGGGCUAGGGAGAAAAUGGGAUAGUUCCCGUCUACAUGUUAAGUUUCAGUUGUAAUUCAAGGAUGACCCCUGCCUUUUAAGUGCGUGCUUUACCUGCACUCUGAUCCUUGAAGUCUUGUGUCAGGCUAAGAAAUCUACGAGAGGUUGAAUGAAGCUUGGCAGAGCAAGAGUGGAGAAGGGAAGCUGGGAAUGAGCGGAGAAAAGGAAGAAGAAGAAAGAGAGUAACCGGCAAGAGAGAGAAAAUGAAUCUUGUUAUUACUCAUGCUAAUUCGGUUACAGGAAAAUGGAAUCAUUUAUACAAUUCUGUUAUUCAUUUAAAGAAUGUAUAUAAACUGGGAAGAGCCUGCCAAAGCAUGGUCGUCCUCCAUGCCUUGCUCACGUGCGGGUUAU